Molecule: long non-coding RNA, 1417 nt
Organism: Triticum dicoccoides
Lineage: Eukaryota; Viridiplantae; Streptophyta; Magnoliopsida; Poales; Poaceae
Exons: 4
Source: RefSeq, a predicted model, not a curated record
UCAACCGCGCCGCGCCGCCGCACCAUCGUUCCGCGCUCCCCUGCACAACCCCUAAAAAUCCCCCAUUUUCCUUGUUGCUCGAGCUCGACUCCUCCACGCCGGACGUCGCCUCGUCCACACCGCCAGACGCCGCCCCGCCCUCACCGCCGGAGCUCCCCCGCCCCACGCCUCCGCCGUGUUGCUUCCGGCGGUCGGCGGAUUAAGGCAGCGGCCUCGCUGGCCCAUGGAACCCGCCAGAGUUCAAAGAUGCCAUGCUCAAUUUUUUGGUAAAGCUACUCGAGUUGCCAGCAAUGCAUGCAAAGCGGCAACAGUUGGCUGCUCAGUUUUUCUUGUACUGCCAAGAUGGAAGGUGUAAAACGAUGGACCUCUGAUUUGAAGAAAUAAGAUAAUCUGCUCUGUGUUGCAAGUUGCUGUCAUGCCGCCGGUGUCAUUAGUUCGUUGUCAUCUGAGAAAUAUGCGUCCUCCAUGAAGCCAAGGCGUCCUCCAUGAAGCCAAGGUUCAGCCCUAUGUUUUCCUCCCGGCUGCUCGAAGCUCACUUUCAGAGCUGCGUCGACGAACUGCCAUACGAGCUGUCACACCCGGUUCAUCCUCCGGCUGUUGCCGGCCGCAAAGUACAGAGUAGAUGAUCAAUUGUGUUUCAAAUUAAUGAACAAGCGCAAUGUACAUAAAUUGGAGCUCAGGUUCUUCUUCUCACCGGCAGAAGAACGAGCAGGGGAGCUCCGGGCGGCAGCACGAGCAGGCCCGUCGGGGAAGAGCAGCAACUUGCAGACGAGCAGCAGAAGAAGCUCGAGGUUGAGGAGGAGCUUGAGUCCCAGGCCCGCCUGGAGCUCCAGGUCCAGGCACUCGAGACCCAGGCGCGCGCAGGUCCUGUGCGGCGCCGGCGCAGGCCCUGGGCGGCGGGAGGGAUAGCAGCGCAGCCCUGGGCGGCGGGAGGGGAUCGCGACGCAGCCCUAGGCGGCGGGAGGGAUCACGGCUGGAGAGGAUGGCGGCGGAGCAGCGCCCUUCAGCAGUGGAGCCGCCGCCCGUCGAGGUGGUCGCCGCGGAGGAGCAGGUGAACGGCGCGGCGCAGCUCGCCUCCGUGCGGGCGACAUAGCUCGCCUCGGGCGGCGCAGCUGGGCAGGGGCGGCGGUGGUUCACAGCGGUGGCGCAGGCCCUGGCCGUCGUCACGUGCUCGGCCUUAUGGUGGGUGCCGACGGUGGCGCGGGCGACCACGGUGUGCGUCGGCGACGAAGAAAGGAGGAAGAAGCAGCGGGGUCUGAUUAGCAAGAGAUUUGAAGCUAGAAGGGGUUUUCUGCAAAAUUGUAAAUGAACUAAGCAGUGGACAACUAUUCCCGGACGGAGGGAGUAUAUACGCUAUAACUGAUAGAUACACAUGGUCAUACACCUCUUCCUAUGGGGGUUUAGCUGUGAUCAGCCC